CAGCAGCCGCGGGAAUACGUAGGGUGCGAGCGUUAAUCGGAAUUACUGGGCGUAAAGCGUGCGCAGGCGGUUGCGUAAGACAGGUGUGAAAUCCCCGGGCUUAACCUGGGAACUGCGCUUGUGACUGCACAGCUAGAGUAUGGCAGAGGGGGGUGGAAUUCCACGUGUAGCAGUGAAAUGCGUAGAGAUGUGGAGGAACACCGAUGGCGAAGGCAGCCCCCUGGGCCAAUACUGACGCUCAUGCACGAAAGCGUGGGGAGCAAACAGGAUUAGAUACACCAGUAGUCCCUGUCUCUUAUAC
Molecule: ribosomal RNA, 301 nt
Filed under: uncultured bacterium
Lineage: Bacteria
Description: partial 16S ribosomal RNA
Rfam family: Bacterial small subunit ribosomal RNA
Source: RNAcentral